Long non-coding RNA from Drosophila yakuba, 5691 nucleotides. RefSeq lists it as uncharacterized. The transcript has 4 exons. The record is from RefSeq and is a predicted model, not a curated record. Lineage: Eukaryota; Metazoa; Arthropoda; Insecta; Diptera; Drosophilidae.
ACCUGAAAGGACACCAAAUGCAGCUAAAGUUGCCAGUUUGCCAACGAGCAAUUGCAAUCGGAUCGGAAUCGGAAUCGGUUCGGAAUCAGAAGUGGUUUUCGAAUUGGAAUAUCAGUGGAUCAGUGGAUCAGUGUAUUUUGUUUUGGUUUUUUUUUUUAUUUAUAAAGGGGGAUUCGGUGUGAUCGCGCCGCUCUUGUUGUCUGUCGUUAUUUAUGGUUGUAUCGCUGCUAAUCGAAGCUUGAUUACGAUUGCUCAAGUGCUGGCCAGUCGCCCUAGUUGUUGUCUAUAUGUGCACGAUAGGAGAGAGCAGAGAUACCGGACUAUACACGGCUCCAUGCCCUCCGCCCAAAGUGGCGGGUCUUAUGCGUUUAAAGACAGUCCAUCUACCAUAUGUGUGUGUGUUACCCAAGUUACCCAAAUUCCUAUAAAGUAUCAUCAUGGCAACCAUGUCUAUUAUUAGAGGAUAGUUGGAGCCCUUAUGGAGUGGAGUGGAGUGGAGUACAGCACCGCCUGGUUCGUUGAUUCCCUGGGCGAAUUCCUUGGCCAAGACCACGAGCACAGCCCGUAUCAGAAGUGGCCUCCUUAGCCGAUGAUCGUCAUCGCCGGAUCGCUUGUGGAGUUGCCAUUGCCAGUUUGGCGACGUCAUCGGACCCCGAGGCUUACACCUAUUGACACUUCUAAUCAUAUCUGUAUCGCCGGGUACAGAACAGGGCAUUACCGCUAAUUUUCCACGAUUUCUCGCGUUGCAAAGUAGUCCGCUACCGAUUAGCGACCGUCGCAGACGUUGCCCUCCCAGCAGUUCAGGUCCCCACCAUCUUGCUGCUCUUAUCUGCGAAAAUAUAGUGUGUGCGAAUGUCUGGGGAUCACGGAGGGAUCAGGGCUAUGCCUGGUUUGGGGGGGUGGGCUGCUGUGUGCUGUGGGUGUUGUGUCAACCGACAACUCGCCAUGUGGAUCGACCGCACUUGGCUGCCAAUUAGCGAUCGCGAAUGCAAAAUACAGCGGGUUGACAAGCCCGAGUAUCGAGUACCCAAAAAAAAAAAAAUCAUUAGGUGUCAAACGUUUGGCGAGAACUCUACUCAUUAUUGCCAAUGAUUAGAGUUCUAGGAGAAGCGGACAUGCCAUAAAGAUAAAUGCUGCGAAGUUUUAGUCACCCAAAUACUCUGUCAUACUUGGUGACUACUUUUCUUUUAGAAUGUACUUGCUGUUUCACCUGAUAAACUGUUGGUUGCAACUCUUAAGCCAUCAUAAAGAUAUGCGAUGGUGAUUGGUUGCUAAUUGGCCAUUGAUGGUGAAAGUUCUUACAAUAUCAUAAAGAUAAACGCUUUGGGGGCCGCCUAAGGCACUUAAGUCAUCAUCAUCAUCAUCGGUGGUGGUGCAGAUUUGCGGUUCUUACAAUAUCAUAAAGAUAAAGCUGGCUGCGUGUUCGCCCUAAUGAGUUCAUGUUGGGGUAGUUCCUGUGGACUUUACGCGCGUGGAAUCCCCCGCCAAUUCACGUGAAUCAACUAAUCGAGCUUCUUGCUUUUAGCUUCUUGCUACAUGGUUCUCUUCAGUAGUUUAGUUUGGUUUUCUUUCGGUGAGUUCUAUUUUCAACGCUGAUUUCGUAUCGCCGCGUAUCGGUAAAAGUCUUCUCAUUACACGCUUGAUUACUUUGGGACAAUUCGAAUUGUUUAUUCCCGUUGUUCAAGUCAAGUGAUCGCUGAUAACGAUUCUACGCUGCGUUUUGCUCUUCUGCAGCAACAGUUUUAAUUAUUACUAUCGUUCUCACUGUAUAAUUUCUAUUAAAUUAUCUAUGGAGUAGUCUUGUUUUUGUUUUGGGUCAUGAUGGCAGCCACUACAAAGCCACUACAAACAACAACGGCGACUACAGUAAUUUGUUAACAAUAAAAAAUAAAAUCGUCUAUUGGACUCGUUCCUCGAGCACUGACUGCCUGGCGAUGACGCCGUUCAAUGGAAGUCUUUUCAUUUAUUGUGUUUCCUUUUUUAUGUAUUUAUUUAUUCCGAACAAACAUUUCGAUGACGCUGUGUGUUCCCAAACGAUAUUUUUAACGCUUUUUUUUUUGGGCUUGCCCCCGGAAUUCUUUUGGAGUGGAAAAUUCUGCCAAUAAGUUGGCGGAAAUUACUGAUAAUCGGGUUAACAGUAAAUUAGGUUCGUUACUUUAUGAAAUAUCAAUUAUUGAAAGGGGUUAUUAUACUCCCGAUCAAAUUACACUAGAGAGAUCACUUUCUCAUAACUUCAAAACUUCAGAGGCCUGUGGAAAUUUCGCAGAAACCCACCUACACACUACCGUCGUAAACCCAUAAAAUGGAGCCACUCUUUAUCAAACCAAACCCAAGUGAAACCCAAAUAAAAGCCUGAUAAACAUUCGAUGAUCAUGUAAAUGAAUUAAGUCAAUGUUUGACGUCAAGUGGUGUAGACAACAGAACAUUUAAUAUGCCAAUAAAGGCAUUUACUAAUUGAUAGCCCACAUACUCCAGUUCAUGGUGAUCGGUGGGUAUUUCUGGGGAAAUCGUCAAAGGAUAGCUAAAUCACUAUACUACGUUGAUCAGUUGAUCCUCACGUGCAUCCCCAGAAACUCAGAGCGGAGAACUGGGAACUGAGUACUGAGAAUUGAAAAGGCCGUGUUACGUGCAGAAUUGGCGGGGAAAUCGUAUGGACUACGGUCGUAUAUUAUGUGGAACAAAAUUAAUAAAUAACAAAAUAUUUACAUAUACCGACGCUAAAUAGUCGUAUAAUCAAUAAUAAAUAGCAGCAACUGCAAAAUGAACACGUUUAGUAAAUAAUCGCAAAAGUCGUCAAGCGUCAAAAGCCGUGCUGUGCUUUUCUUUCGUUUUUUUUUCUUUUUUUUUUAUAUAUUUUUCAAUUUUCAAUUCACCGCUGAGAAAGAGGAAAAGGGAACAAGAAUCGCAAGCAUUGUGUCCGGAGUCUGAAAAAUCUGGGUGGAAAUACCAGGCGGGCCUGAUGAGCCUAUUGGGUGCUAAUGAUGACAUUGUUUUACAAGCCGGCUCCGUAAAGAUGAUUAAUUGAAUUGCGAUCUAUCAAUGUCUCGUUUCCUCCGGCGGUCGCGUCAUCGUCAUCGUCUUAGUUGGUGCCUCUGGUUUUCCUUCUUGUGAUAAGACUAAAACUACGUCAGUGCCCCCAGUUAUACACGGCAAUUAAGAACGACAGUCAUGCGUCCUUAACUGGAUAAAAGAUGGCAUAGGGUUCCUAACUUUUAUCAUGGAAAUCGAAAAUUAUUUCGAAUCCUCUUGAUGUUUGUAAAUGUUGGAAAAUUGUUUCGGUUUUUAGACGUUACAUUUAAUUUUGGUAAUAUUUCACUGAUAAUUGUAUCGAAUUGUAUCAUUUGCAAUUAUUCUUCCAUUAUGGAAGAUCGACUGUAAGUCUGUCUGUCACAUGUAUUGCUGAUUGGCCACUAUCAAGCCACCGUUAAACUGAGUUACCAACUAACUAACUGCGCUGAUUGACGAACCGAGGGGAUCUACGAGUAUAGUUUGGGCCAUAUUUGCUUAUAACCAAAUGCCCCAUGAUGGAUGAUGUUGGCCUAAGUGCAAUCGCAAGACUUCUUGAGCCCGCUGCCAAUCGACUGAUCGAUAACAGAUAACUGGUUGCCGUUAUUUGCGCUUACGGCUAACGGUACAUUCGUAGCGGGUGUAUGUGAACGUUUUUUGCAUAUGAUACCGUUUCGUAGGUGCGGCACUGAUUGAUUUACCGGAUUUUGUCAAAACACUCGAAAAAAAAACCCACUCGAUCCACCAUAUUUUCAUACUUCCAUAUAUAUUCUUUUAUGCAAUGUAUUUAAACAACAUUUGUGAAAUAAAUGUUGUUAAGAGUUUUUUUGUGAUGAACACAGUUCUGAAAUUGGACUCUGGUUUGGGAUAUGGAUUCAAACUUCAGGAAGAGAUGAACGUGAAUUCUUUGCGCGAGUGUAGACAGCGCGUCUGAAGUGGAGCGCACAUGCGAAUCCGAUCGUUCAGAUUGGGCCCAGAAGAACUCUAACCUGUGCACUAUAUGUAAUCGAUUCGAUGCGAUUUGAUUCCGGGCGUGCAAUGGAUCGCGCUCCUGCUUUCCUCUUCGUGGCCCACUCAGAUAACGCCGUGCAAGGUGACCACGAGAACAAAACCAAAAAAAAAAUUAAGACAACCACACGGAUCGAAAAUCGAAGAGAUUUGGAGGGGAUGGCGAUAAUGUGUGUUGUUUACCAGUGCACUGAUUUCCAAUUCAAUUCCUUCUGGUAUUCCUUGUACAUAUAUUUUUUUUUUGGGAAUUUUGCCGUUUUCCGUUCCGAUUCUUUUAAGUUUUAUACUUCACUUUUGGGAUACCCACGAUCAAAAAUUGUUGCAAAAAAAUAAACACUCGCAGGAACCGUUGGCUUUCGCCUUUCGCUGACUUGUGGGUAGUUUCUUCUUUUAAUUUUUUUUUUUUAAACGAAAUAGAAGGGAAUCGCGGAACACUGGAAGACUGAGCGAUCGCGUCGCAGGACCGUUACCGUUAAGCGGUGCACGCUGAAUUGAGGCGCUGCCACUGCGAGGUUGACACUUUUUGUUAACGGUGACGAUCGGCGGCGGUGACGUCGCUCCGUCGCUUCUCGAUUCCCGUAACCGUUCUGAUUUAAAUGGAACGCUGCUCCAAGCUCACGUCGGUUUCCAGUCUCUGUCGGCGUAGGCGUAGGCGCCGACGUCGCUGCCCGCUAACCGCUAUUUCUGUUUCGGUUUCUUUUUCGCUUUUCCGUUUCGUUUUCGACAAUUUCCAGCCGAGCUUUAAAGUCGUCUUCUCUCUUCCCGUUUUCCUGAUUUCCCGCCAGGAUUGAGAGAAACCGUUAUUGCAUAUAAAUAGAACGGCAGGAACUUCACCGUUACGUUACUUCACUUCGGCGAAGUUUAACAAAAUAAGAAGUUCAAAACGAGCUCUCCGAGUGCGAAACUUAAAUUAGGAAAAAAAUCAGAGCGGAAAAGCUCAAAGCCGCACGGCAAACGAACGCGGCAUUAAUAAAAUUCAACCAGCUCCUUUAACUGCCGAUCGAUCGCGCAGAAAGGAUCUUGUGGCCCACUGUGCAUGUGGAAUACCGGGAAUACCUGCAAAUGGACUAGGGAGUCGUCGAAUCGAAGGGAACUCAAGAUGUGAGAGCCAUUCUCCCCAGAUCGAUUCGGAUUUGGCGAGUGCGAAAGAGCGGAGAAAGCUCAAGAGAGCGCGGAGAUGGAGAUAGCCGGUGCCCGGGGCUUCGGAUCGUCGGGGACAAUGAUAGUGUUGAUAACAAGUGCUUUGCUCUGGAUAUGGGAAUGGGAAUCUUCUCCGACACCGAAAGCCGUGCACUGCAGGAAAUUCCAUUUGGAAGUUUUCAGAUCCUUUCUUAUAUGAUUACCUACCUUACAGGAUUUAAGGGUUUUUGAGCUUUUGAUACAAUCAUAAUGUUAAAAAAUAUAUGUAUUAAAUAUUUUAUAUCUUUCAACUACGUUUUUAGGCCCACUGUGCGCCUGCGCAGCUUCACGCUCGUAAAAAGCACAACUCACGAUCAUCGGAGAUCUACGGGUUCCACAGUAAAAUGUAGAGCAAUACUGACCAUGACACUUAGGAUUUUGUACCAUGAAAUGACGUGUAAAUAAAUUGAUAAAUAAGUUGAAAAGGUUUAAUGAACCAAUAAAGAAUGAUUAUUAUUUAUGAUAUAAAAUAAGAUAUCUAUAUGAUUACAAAUAUAA